UCAUCCUGGUCGCCAGCUAUGUCAUCCUGCUCCUGGUCUUCCUCAUCUCCUGCAUCCUGUACGACUGCCGGGGCAAAGACCCCACCAAGGAGUACGCGCCCGACAGCGCGCCGGCGCCGCCCAGCCAGUCGCCCAUACGCCUGGUGGUCAUGCAGAACUCGCCGGCCUCGUCCCGCUACGAGCCCAACAGCACGGCGGCCCACGGCGAGCUGCCGACGCCGGAGCUGAGCCGGGACCGAGGAGACAGGGAGCGGGAGAAGAGGAGCACCCUGGUCUGAGGAAGAGGAGUGAGAGGAGGAAGGCUCAGACUGAUACACCACCAAGUGCUGCUGGCUCACGUUGUACAGUGAUUUUAGUUCUGGACUCUUGUUUUGAAGCUGUAACAUCCGUCGAUGGCGUCGACGACGAGCAGCCGAGGUCAGCAGGAGUUAAUCAACUUACUGGUUCAAUAAUUAGUCAAACAACCCACUGUGUUGUGGGGACACGACUCGACGGCCCACCUCAUUGCAGGGACACGACCUGACGGCCCACCUCGUUGCGGGGACACGACCUGACGGCCCACCUCGUUGCGGGGACACGACUCGACGGCCCACCUGGUUGCGGGGACACGACCCGACGGCCCACCUGGUUGCGGGGACACGACCUGACGGCCCACCUCGUUGCGGGGACACGACUCGACGGCCCACCUCGUUGCGGGGACACGACUCGACGGCCCACCUCGUUGCGGGGACACGACCUGACGGCCCACCUCGUUGCGGGGACACGACUCGACGGCCCACCUCGUUGUGGGCACUGGGGGAAAUAGUUCUCAACGUUUUCUGUUUAUUCAGGUUUAGCUCGCAGCGGCUCUCGGAGUGAGAGAAGUUUGUGUGUCGUCUUUGUCACAUCUGUCAGAGAUCACUAGAAGUAACGUUACUUUAAUUCAUCCGUCUUGUUCAGGCGUCACAGAUAUUACAUGUUGUUUAAAAAAUAAGGACAAAAUUACAACUUGUAGGGUUUUUUCCAACAUGAAAAUGUAAAAUAAAUCUGUUAAACCACUUUGCAUGUGAACAUGUGUCGGUGUGUGUCCAGUGCAUCUGUUCGUCCCAUACGUGCGUACUGUACACGUGUCGUGCCAGUCGUCUGUAUGUUCAGACGAUAAUCCAUCUCCAUGGAAAUCACUCAUCACAGAUCUGCCUCGGUUUGAGUGACAGGAAUCAACGUCCGAGCAGCCGAUCGGUUCUGCUCACUGUAAUCUGAUUAACUGCAAAUCAGAACCUGAUUAAUUAGUUUCAGGUCUGCAGCCAGUGACACAUCACGUACAGUACGCACUCACACUCCUGCACAAACUGGUUUAUG
RNAcentral lists this long non-coding RNA (1338 nucleotides) under Scophthalmus maximus (turbot). RNAcentral's name for it is "lncRNA (ENSSMAG00000033764.1)". The record is from RNAcentral. Lineage: Eukaryota; Metazoa; Chordata; Actinopteri; Pleuronectiformes; Scophthalmidae.